RNA transcript from Calypte anna (Anna's hummingbird), 3738 nucleotides. It is a transcript of the gene named transmembrane protein 129, with no coding region annotated. The transcript is spliced from 15 exons. NCBI's taxonomy places the organism in Eukaryota, Metazoa, Chordata, Aves, Apodiformes, Trochilidae. The record is from RefSeq and is a predicted model, not a curated record.
GGUCGGGUCGGGCCGGGCCGGGUCGGGUCGGGCGGGGCACAGCAUGGAGAGCCCCGCGGUCACCUUCACUCUGGCUUACCUGGUGUUCGCCGUCUGCUUCGUCUUCCCGCCCGACGAGGUGCGGUCGGCGGGGCUGACGGUGCAGAGCCUGCUGGCCGCCUGGUUGGGCAGCGAGGACGCGGCCUUCGUGCAGUACCACCUGCGGCGGAGCACCGGCACGCUCCUGGCACACUCCCUCCUGCCCCUGGGUUAUUACCUUGGUAUGUGCUUUGCUGCACCUGAAAAACAUCUUUAUUUUUUCUACCUGGCCUCAAAAGGAUGGAAAACUUUCUUCUUCUUCGCUGUUCUCUUUCCAGCAGUCACCAGUGCCCUGGCAUAUUACUGGUCACGGAAAGGUUGGAAUAAUCAUCCACUGGCCCGAACACUUGCUGUUCAUGCUCUCCCACAGUCAGGAUGGAGGGCAGUAGCUUCUUCCAUCAAUACAGAAUUUAGAAGAAUCGACAAAUUUGCUACUGGAGCCCCAGGAGCGAGGGUGAUUGUUACAGACACUUGGGUGAUUAAAGUGACCACCUACUGUUUACACGUUGCCCAGCAGCAGGACAUUCAUUUGACAGUGACAGACUCCAGGCAGCAUGAACUCACCCCAGACUCAAAUAUGCCCGUGCAGUUCCUCACCAUCCGUGUUGCCAGUAUUAAUCCCUAUGUGAAAGCAUUUGAUAUCCGGUUGAACUCCACAGAGUAUGGGGAGCUCCGAGAAAAGCUCCGUGCUCCCAUCAGCAAUGCAGCUAAUGUUGUGAUCCAUCAAAGCCUUAGUGAUUUAUUUCUUGAAACCUUUACAUCUCUGGUGGAAAUUAACCAGACAUAUUCUGUUCCAAGCACUCAGGAGCUGGAGCCUUGCAUAGGGUGCAUGCAGACUAUUGCUAACAUCAAGCUGAUCAAGAACUGCCAGGAGCCAAAUGAAGGGGAAUGCCAGCAGUGCUACUGUCGCCCCAUGUGGUGCCUGACCUGCAUGGGGAAGUGGUUUGCCAGCCGACAGGAUCAGCAGCACCCAGAGACCUGGCUGUCCAGCCAAGUGCCUUGUCCCACCUGCAGAGCCAAGUUUUGCAUUUUAGAUGUUUGCAUAAUAAGUUCUGUGCAACAUGCACACUGCUGGCAUCAAGAACAAGAAUGUAGAAGAUGGAAUGAUUCAGAUUCUUUGAUGUUUGAGGAGUAUCAAUGUAGUCAUUUCAACCAGUGGUUGGAGAGCUCAGCAACAGCAGAACAUUCUAGGCCUCUUUCUGACUGUCCUGACUGGGAAGGUAGAAUUGAAGAAGACAAAACAAUGAGGACAUCAAGUAAAAAGAUUACAAAUGAUCCUUCUAAUGCAGCUGAAAGGGAAACAGAUGAGGUGGUUCUGAGGAGAAGACAAAAACAGAUCAAUUUUGGAAAAAAUACCCUUGCAUAUGACAGAUACAUUAAAGAAGUUCCAAAGAAUCAGCGAAUACCAGGAGUUCAUCCUAGAACUCCCAACAAAUUUAAGAAGUACAGCCGUAGAUCCUGGGACCAGCAGAUCAGGCUGUGGAAGAUUGCACUGCAUGCCUGGGAUCCUCCCACUGAAGAAACCUGGGAUCUGCAGCCAGUUAACACAGAACCCUCAGGUAGUUCCCAGGAAUGGUUCUGCAAAGAUCAGGAUGUUUCUUGCUCCUUUGUAUUUGAUGAAAAGCAGAAGAGAAAUGAGAGUGAAGAUGAAUGCAGACAAACUGACUAUGCACCAGAAAGUCCCUGUUCUCCUGAUUCUUCUCCAGUAUGGAAGCGCAGAAAAAGAAACAAUUCUGACUCUUCUGUGGUUUCACAGAGCAAAAACCAUUAUGUGCACAUGUACCACACACUGGAAAGUCUGACUGAACCAGGACAUCAGGAGGUGCUUUCAAGGUGCUCAGAGUGGGAAGCCUUUGGUGAAAAUGAUGAAGUAAUGACAGUACAACAAGGUGUAGAAACAAGUGACCCCAUUUCAGGCAGCUGUUCUUCAGGAUGGAACAGUCAGAAACAGAAAAAAAGCAACUUCUUUCUGCCUGACAGCAAAACUUGCAGUGAUACAGACUGCAGGAUGGAAAGGCUUAAACUUUGUAGCAGUUUAUUGGAAGGACAUCAGUCAGAAUACCCUGGAAGAGGAUGGGGAAGUGCAAGUGCUGAAGAUAGAAUAAUGAGGAAAAACAUUUAAAUACCAAGUCUCUCUUUGAAUAUAGAAGUGUUGAAGAAGAAGGAUGUUCUCCUGUGGCUGAAAAAAAUUUGAAGAAUAGGGAUGUAGUCUGAGAUCACAUCUUGGAAAACUGGUGCAGUCCCAUCAGAUCUGCAGUGCAAGAAAGAUUUACAGUCAGCAUAUGUGCAGUCAACAUAAGGUGAACUAUGGAGGUGUCUCCAGAUCUUUUAAGGGUAGAUUGUCUUCUGCAAGCUCUGCCUCAAGUGUAAAACUCCAGAUUUUGUUAAGCCUGUGCCACAACAAUGAUGGAUGUUCCUUAAAGCUUUUGUGAGAAUGUUUCUGCUUUAUCUGCAUUGACAAAUGACAUUUGCAUCAUACUGUAAAGCUCCUUCAGUGGAUGGAUCCUGCUGUUGCAGUUUGGAGAUCAUGCUACUUAAGAGUGUGCUGAUGUUAUGCUGGCAAAUUGGUCCAGUACUGAGUGAGAAUGAAGAAUGUCCCUGCUUAAACCAAGGACGUGAGCCCUUGUUUCUUCCACUGGACAAGAGUUGUACAUACAACCUGAAAAACUGCUUCAAAAGAAUGUAGAUAAUUUCAACCUUUCUCCAGCUGUUAAAGACAAACUGUUCUUAGCUUGUGGAUUAGGCAGUCAUCUGUUUGGCUGUUUACAGUUCUCUGAGAUACUUAUAUUAAACUAGGAGUUACCUAAGCCUACUAAGAGAUGAGAAAAGAAAGGUAGAUGGUUAUUGAGAGGAUGAGUGGCUGAACAGCAAGGCAGCCUAAUUAUUUGGAUUUUGCUUUUAUGGGUGUUACAACCUGACCUGAAGAGCCAAUCUAUAGCUAAGGGCAAGUGAGGAUGAGUUCAGUGCCUGCUGUUCUACAGCAGCUGGAGGUGAGCAGCAGUAUUUGCAGGUUUGGAGUUGCUCUUGGGCAUGGGGUGUCCAGGCUAAGGGUUGUGGGGUGUGUAGAUAAGUUCUCCUUUAUUUUACCCUUCUAGCACAGUGCUGAGAGGGUCAAAGCAGGGGCUGUGACUGCAGUAGAGUUUAGACCUGAUUAACAUGCCAGUUAUGAGAAUUUUUUACUGUCCUUGUGGCAUUUUAUGUGGCAUGUACAGGGUUAUAAAUAUCUGUUCAAGCUGGGAAUUGUCUCUUUGCAGGAGUUCUGUUUGGCUUUUUGCAAGGCCACUGCAGAACUGCAAGUACUGGGGAUGUCACAGCAGCUUUGCUGUGUGGCUGGCAGUGUACCCAAGGACCAAAACCCCACUGUGCUACUGAUGUGGAAGUAAACUGCUUCCCUAGAAACUGCUCCCAGUCCCUUCCAAAAUGUUUUCUGCAGGCAUGGGAUUCAUCAGUGUCUCUGCACAAGGGUGGUUCAGUCACACAAAACAGAGCAUGGAAUGUGUAUAUACAAGGAACACAUCUGUACAGCACUUUUUAAAGAGGUAAUAUUUAGCACAUUGUUGUUCCAUUGUGCAUGCUUCCAUGUAAUUUAUGAUAACUGUAAAUGAGGCAAUGUAUGACAUUUUGGCAUUUUGUCUUUAUGAUGAAUUAAAGACUUCAAAA